This 312-nucleotide unclassified non-coding RNA is filed under the name plant metagenome. Its description in RNAcentral is "partial contains 5.8S ribosomal RNA, internal transcribed spacer 2, and large subunit ribosomal RNA". The stretch from base 1 to 105 matches the Rfam family "5.8S ribosomal RNA", at positions 50 to 154 of the family's 154-position model. The record is from RNAcentral.
GAAAUGCGAUAAGUAAUGUGAAUUGCAGAAUUCCGUGAAUCAUCGAAUCUUUGAACGCACAUUGCGCCCUCUGGCAUUCCGGGAGGCAUGCCUGUCCGAGCGUCAUUACGCACCCUCAAGCCCGGCUUGUGUGAUGGGCCCCGGCGUCUCGUUCGCGAGACGGGCCCGAAAGGCAGCGGCGGCGUCGACCCGAUGAGCCCGAGCGUAUGGGGACUUCUGUCACACGUUCGCGGUGCGGACCGGCGCCUGCUUGACUUUUCUGAUUAUCCAGGUUGACCUCGGAUCAGGUAGGGAUACCCGCUGAACUUAAGC